Molecule: ribosomal RNA, 385 nt
Filed under: uncultured bacterium
Lineage: Bacteria
Description: bacterial SSU rRNA
Rfam family: Bacterial small subunit ribosomal RNA
Source: RNAcentral
AUUGAACGCUGGCGGCAUGCCUUACACGUGCAAGUCGAACGGUAACGCGGGGCAACCUGGCGACGAGUGGCGAACGGGUGAGUAACACAUCGGAACGUGCCCAGUAGUGGGGAUAGCCCGGCGAAAGCCGGAUUAAUACCGCAUACGACCUACGGGUGAAAGCGGGGAGUCGCAAGACCUCGCGCUAUUGGAGCGGCCGAUGGCAGAUUAGGUAGUUGGUGGGGUAAAGGCCUACCAAGCCCGCGAUCUGUAGCUGGUCUGAGAGGACGACCAGCCACACUGGGACUGAGACACGGCCCAGACUCCUACGGGAGGCAGCAGUGGGGAAUUUUGGACAAUGGGCGCAAGCCUGAUCCAGCCAUGCCGCGUGCGGGAAGAAGGACCG